RNAcentral lists this ribosomal RNA (440 nucleotides) under uncultured bacterium. RNAcentral describes it as "partial 16S ribosomal RNA". It matches the Rfam family "Bacterial small subunit ribosomal RNA", at positions 338 to 795 of the family's 1533-position model. The record is from RNAcentral.
CCUACGGGAGGCAGCAGUAGGGAAUAUUGCUCAAUGGGGGAAACCCUGAAGCAGCAACGCCGCGUGGAGGAUGAAGGUUCUAGGAUUGGAAACCCCUUUUGGUAGAGAAGAGAAGGACGGUAGCGAACGAAUAAGGACGGGCUAACUCCGUGCCAGCAGCCGCGGUAAUACGGAGGGUGCAAGCGUUACUCGGAAUCACGGGGCGUCAAGAGCGCGUAGGCGGGCUAGCAAGUCAGAUGGGAAAUCCUAUGUCUUAACCAUAGAACUGCCUUUUAAACUGUUAUUCUAGAGUCUGGGCGCGGUAGGUGGAAUUCUUGGUGUAGCGGUCAAAUCCGUAGAUCUCACGCGGACUCCUCAUUGCGAAGGCGACCUGCUAGCCCCUCCCUGCCGCUGCUGCGCGAACGCGUGGGGAGCAAACAGGAUUAGCUACCCUGGUAGUC